Molecule: ribosomal RNA, 997 nt
Filed under: uncultured bacterium
Lineage: Bacteria
Description: bacterial SSU rRNA
Rfam family: Bacterial small subunit ribosomal RNA
Source: RNAcentral
GGGGAAUAUUGCACAAUGGGGGGAACCCUGAUGCAGCGAUGCCGCGUGGAGGAAGAAGGUUUUCGGAUUGUAAACUCCUUUUAACAGGGACGAUAAUGACGGUACCUGAAGAAAAAGCUCCGGCUAACUACGUGCCAGCAGCCGCGGUAAUACGUAGGGAGCGAGCGUUGUCCGGAAUUACUGGGUGUAAAGGGAGCGUAGGCGGGACGGUAAGUCAGGUGUGAAAUAUACGUGCUCAACAUGUAGACUGCACUUGAAACUGCUGUUCUUGAGUGAAGUAGAGGUAAGCGGAAUUCCUAGUGUAGCGGUGAAAUGCGUAGAUAUUAGGAGGAACAUCGGUGGCGAAGGCGGCUUACUGGGCUUUUACUGACGCUGAGGCUCGAAAGCGUGGGGAGCAAACAGGAUUAGAUACCCUGGUAGUCCACGCUGUAAACGAUGAUUACUAGGUGUGGGGGGACUGACCCCUUCCGUGCCGCAGUUAACACAAUAAGUAAUCCACCUGGGGAGUACGACCGCAAGGUUGAAACUCAAAGGAAUUGACGGGGGCCCGCACAAGCAGUGGAGUAUGUGGUUUAAUUCGAAGCAACGCGAAGAACCUUACCAGGUCUUGACAUCGUAUGCAUAGUCUAGAGAUAGAUGAAAUCCCUUCGGGGACAUAUAGACAGGUGGUGCAUGGUUGUCGUCAGCUCGUGUCGUGAGAUGUUGGGUUAAGUCCCGCAACGAGCGCAACCCUUACCUUUAGUUGCUACGCAAGAGCACUCUAGAGGGACUGCCGUUGACAAAACGGAGGAAGGUGGGGAUGACGUCAAAUCAUCAUGCCCCUUAUGACCUGGGCUACACACGUACUACAAUGGCCGUUAACAAAGGGAAGCAAUACCGCGAGGUGGAGCAAAACCCCAAAAACGGUCCCAGUUCGGAUUGUAGGCUGCAACCCGCCUGCAUGAAGUUGGAAUUGCUAGUAAUCGCAGAUCAGAAUGCUGCGGUGAAUACGUUCCCG